Scleropages formosus (Asian bonytongue) is the source of this 1810-nucleotide long non-coding RNA. RefSeq lists it as uncharacterized. The record is from RefSeq and is a predicted model, not a curated record. The transcript has 3 exons. Lineage: Eukaryota; Metazoa; Chordata; Actinopteri; Osteoglossiformes; Osteoglossidae.
CAGCAAUCCGGCGAGGCAAAGAACAAGAGCAAUCCGGGGUCGGGGAGCGGGAGGAGGGAGCGCGGCUCGGCCGGUGGGUUCCGGACCCCCUGGGAAAACUCAGGUUAACACAGGAAGGAUGCGGGAACUCCGCGCCGAGGGAUCCAGAUCUGAACUCAAACCCAAAACCACAGCCCAGGAGCUGCGAGGCUGAGAGACACCCGCUGCACCAUAAUACCACUCCGCAGAGUUCUGCUCUCCUGUGACCCAUGAGUCAGAGACUGAGAACAUGGGAUCCUGAGGCACAGGAGCCUCAGCUGACUGUGAAGCAGGCAGGCAGUGCUGCCACUUUGUUGCUUGAAUCCCCACAUUCUUCUUCUAUUUACUCAUUCAGCUGAUGCUUUUCUCCAAAACCAACUUCCAAGAUUCAACUACUUACACUUACUCACCCAUUUAUACCUAUAUAAAUCCAAUGGAGUAAUUUCUACAGUUAGUACCUUGCUCAAGGGUACUACAGCUAGAGAUGGGAUUCAAACCUGCAGCCUUUGAGUUCAACAGCAGCAGCUUUAACCACUACCCUACCAACUGGCCUGCUCUUAAUGUUGGCAGAUUGGACCACUUUCACCACAUACAGGAAAAAGUUCACAUUUCCCCAAAAAUUUGACCCAGGGAUCCAUGUGGGAUGUGUACAAACAGCAAAUGUUUUUCGAAAAGAAUUUCACUCGCAGAGGUUAUUCCAACAUGCGGUGGAGAAUCACAGCAACUGCUCCUUCGUCGCACCACUUUUCCCUUUUUUUUAAAACGUCCAUGAGCUCACCUUACAUACCUAAUUCAAAAUUCAAAGCUGUGUCUGCAAAACAACAUAAAAUGCAUUUAAAAGGAGAGGGUAACAACACUAACACGAGUCGCCAAACAGCACCUUGGGGUUUUACACAAUUACGGGUCUUCCGAGAUGCAGCAAGUGGACGGCAUUUCAAUUUAGGUUAAAAAAAAAACCUGGAAGGAAAGAAAACAAAUAGAUGUAUGUCAUUGUCGCUGUGUUUAUAACAAAAAGGUUGGGGUUUAAAGUGAUCCCAAAAAAGACUAGUUUUAGUCUACCCUGCAGUCUUGUAAAAUGUAUAUGAUGCAGUCGAGCGAAUGAAAUGAAAGCAAGUCUGAGCCGAGCCUUUUGCCUGGAGAAUAUGAUGGGAAUUUGUUUAUAUUUUUCUACUCCAUCUCGUCAAGGUAGCUCUCAAAACCAGACUUUAGCACUGCUGCAGCCGAAAUUUUACAAGGGAAACCUCUGUCCUCGAAGGCGCCGGGAAAGCGGUGAGCGCUGCUUCUCGAAAAAACCACCAAUUUGUCCCAAAAAAAAAAACACACCCUGAUAUUUGUUUCUUCCCCCCCUCGUUCGCUGCCUGCAUGAAACGUUCUCUGUUUUCUAAAGGUUUGUCGUGCCCGUGAGCUCCGCGAGACUCCGCAGCCGUGCUUCGCUGCGUUUACUGCUAAUAUUGUUUUGCCUUUAUUUCUGCAGAUUUACGCAGCCCCUUACGCCGAGGAGCGCGGAUGUUAUCGAGUACGUCUCUUACAAGCCUACAAAUCCAAACCUUUCACCCUGAAGCGCAGAGAUUCUCUUAGUCAACAGAAGCAACGUGGGGAAGACAUUGAUCUACAUCUUUAAAGCUUGUAAUCCUUAUACGAGAUAGUCUCCUUGACGUCUCAACGGCCCAACCUGUCUCCCACACACGCCCGGUCGUACCCGUGGCUCAUUGCGAAGCGUCAGAAACAACAGCGCUGUAGGCGUAUCGAACAUUUUAGGGCCUCGUGGAAUAGGAGGGUGCUUUGUGAUUCA